RNAcentral lists this ribosomal RNA (253 nucleotides) under uncultured bacterium. RNAcentral describes it as "partial 16S ribosomal RNA". It matches the Rfam family "Bacterial small subunit ribosomal RNA", at positions 524 to 776 of the family's 1533-position model. The record is from RNAcentral.
UACGAGGGGGGCAAGCGUUGUUCGGAAUCACUGGGCGUAAAGGGCGCGUAGGCGGUCUUGUAAGUCUCGUGUGAAAUCCCUCGGCUUAACUGAGGAACUGCACGGGAUACUGCAUGACUUGAGAUCGGGAGAGGGAAGCGGAAUUCCGGGUGUAGCGGUGAAAUGCGUAGAUAUCCGGAGGAACACCGGUGGCGAAGGCGGCUUCCUGGACCGACACUGACGCUGAGGCGCGAAAGCUAGGGGAGCAAACGGG